This 500-nucleotide ribosomal RNA is filed under the name uncultured bacterium. RNAcentral's name for it is "partial 16S ribosomal RNA". It matches the Rfam family "Bacterial small subunit ribosomal RNA", at positions 30 to 523 of the family's 1533-position model. The record is from RNAcentral.
AUUGAACGCUGGCGGCAGGCCUAACACAUGCAAGUCGAGCGGAUGACGGGAGCUUGCUCCUUGAUUCAGCGGCGGACGGGUGAGUAAUGCCUAGGAAUCUGCCUGGUAGUGGGGGACAACGUUUCGAAAGGAACGCUAAUACCGCAUACGUCCUACGGGAGAAAGCAGGGGACCUUCGGGCCUUGCGCUAUCAGAUGAGCCUAGGUCGGAUUAGCUAGUAGGUGAGGUAAAGGCUCACCUAGGCGACGAUCCGUAACCGGUCUAAGAGGAUGAUCAGUCACACUGGAACUGAGACACGGUCCAGACUCCUACGGGAGGCAGCAGUGGGGAAUAUUGGACAAUGGGCGAAAGCCUGAUCCAGCCAUGCCGCGUGUGUGAAGAAGGUCUUCGGAUUGUAAAGCACUUUAAGUUGGGAGGAAGGGUUGUACGUUAAUACCGUGCAAUUUUGACGUUACCGACAGAAUAAGCACCGGCUAACUCUGUGCCAGCCGCCGCCGUAA